RNAcentral lists this ribosomal RNA (247 nucleotides) under uncultured Gardnerella sp. RNAcentral describes it as "partial 16S ribosomal RNA". It matches the Rfam family "Bacterial small subunit ribosomal RNA", at positions 109 to 354 of the family's 1533-position model. Lineage: Bacteria; Bacillati; Actinomycetota; Actinomycetes; Bifidobacteriales; Bifidobacteriaceae. The record is from RNAcentral.
AGUAAUGCGUGACCAACCUCGCCCCAUGCUCCAGAAUAGCUCUUGGAAACGGGUGGUAAUGCUGGAUGCUCCAACUUGACGCAUGUCUUGUUGGGAAAGUGUUUAGUGGCAUGGGAUGGGGUCGCGUCCUAUCAGCUUGUAGGCGGGGUAAUGGCCCACCUAGGCUUCGACGGGUAGCCGGCCUGAGAGGGCGGACGGCCACAUUGGGACUGAGAUACGGCCCAGACUCCUACGGGAGGCAGCAGAG